AACGAACGCUGGCGGCAUGCCUAACACAUGCAAGUCGAACGGGACCUUCGGGUCUAGUGGCGCACGGGUGCGUAACGCGUGGGAACCUGCCCUUAGGUUCGGAAUAACUCCCCGAAAGGGGUGCUAAUACCGGAUAAUGUCUUCGGACCAAAGAUUUAUCGCCUUUGGAUGGGCCCGCGUUGGAUUAGCUAGUUGGUAGGGUAAAAGCCUACCAAGGCGACGAUCCAUAGCUGGUCUGAGAGGAGGAUCAGCCACACUGGGACUGAGACACGGCCCAGACUCCUACGGGAGGCAGCAGUGGGGAAUAUUGGACAAUGGGCGAAAGCCUGAUCCAGCAAUGCCGCGUGAGUGAGGAAGGCCUUAGGGUUGUAAAGCUCUUUUACCCGGGAUGAUAAUGACAGUACCGGGAGAAUAAGCUCCGGCUAACUCCGUG
This 433-nucleotide ribosomal RNA is filed under the name uncultured bacterium. RNAcentral's name for it is "partial 16S ribosomal RNA". It matches the Rfam family "Bacterial small subunit ribosomal RNA", at positions 29 to 507 of the family's 1533-position model. The record is from RNAcentral.